CGACUCUCGGCAACGGAUAUCUCGGCUCACGCAUCGAUGAAGAACGUAGCAAAAUGCGAUACUUGGUGUGAAUUGCAGAAUCCCGUGAACCAUCGAGUUUUUGAACGCAAGUUGCGCCCGAAACCAUCCGGUUGAGGGCACGUCUGCCUGGGCGUCACG
Molecule: ribosomal RNA, 159 nt
Filed under: Melampodium bibracteatum
Lineage: Eukaryota; Viridiplantae; Streptophyta; Magnoliopsida; Asterales; Asteraceae
Also listed under: 1 other name
Description: 5.8S ribosomal RNA
Rfam family: 5.8S ribosomal RNA
About the family: 5.8S ribosomal RNA (5.8S rRNA) is a component of the large subunit of the eukaryotic ribosome. It is transcribed by RNA polymerase I as part of the 45S precursor that also contains 18S and 28S rRNA.
Source: RNAcentral